This 492-nucleotide ribosomal RNA is filed under the name uncultured bacterium. Its description in RNAcentral is "partial 16S ribosomal RNA". It matches the Rfam family "Bacterial small subunit ribosomal RNA", at positions 29 to 507 of the family's 1533-position model. The record is from RNAcentral.
AGUGAACGCUGGCGGUAGGCCUAACACAUGCCAGUCGAACGGCAGCACAGUAAGAGCUUGCUCUUACGGGUGGCGAGUGGCGGACGGGUGAGGAAUACAUCGGAAUCUACUUUUUCGUGGGGGAUAACGUAGGGAAACUUACGCUAAUACCGCAUACGACCUACGGGUGAAAGCAGGGGAUCUUCGGACCUUGCGCGAUUGAAUGAGCCGAUGUCGGAUUAGCUAGUUGGCGGGGUAAAGGCCCACCAAGGCGACGAUCCGUAGCUGGUCUGAGAGGAUGAUCAGCCAUACUGGAACUGAGACACGGUCCAGACUCCUACGGGAGGCAGCAGUGGGGAAUAUUGGACAAUGGGCGCAAGCCUGAUCCAGCCAUACCGCGUGGGUGAAGAAGGCCUUCGGGUUGUAAAGCCCUUUUGUUGGGAAAGAAAAGCAGCAGGUUAAUACCCCGCUGUUCUGACGGUACCCAAAGAAUAAGCACCGGCUAACUUCGUG